Molecule: ribosomal RNA, 740 nt
Filed under: uncultured archaeon
Lineage: Archaea
Description: bacterial SSU rRNA
Rfam family: Archaeal small subunit ribosomal RNA
Source: RNAcentral
UUCCGGUUGAUCCCGCCGGACCCGACUGCUAUCAGAGUGGGACUAAGCCAUGCGAGUCAACAUAGCAAUAUGUGGCAUACGGCUCAGUAACACGUAGUCAACAUGCCCAGGGGACGUGGAUAACCUCGGGAAACUGAGGAUAAACCGCGAUAGGUCAUCACUUCUGGAAUGGGUAAUGACUUAAAUCUAUAUGGCCCCUGGAUUGGACUGCGGCCGAUCAGGCUGUUGGUGAGGUAAUGGCCCACCAAACCUGUAACCGGUACGGGCUCUGAGAGGAGGAGCCCGGAGAUGGGCACUGAGACAAGGGCCCAGGCCCUAUGGGGCGCAGCAGGCGCGAAACCUCUGCAAUAGGCGAAAGCUUGACAGGGUUACUCUGAAUGAUUUCCGUUAAGGAGAUCUUUUGGCACCUCUAAAAAUGGUGCAGAAUAAGGGGUGGGCAAGUCUGGUGUCAGCCGCCGCGGUAAUACCAGCACCCCGAGUGGUCGGGACGUUUAUUGGGCCUAAAGCAUCCGUAGCCGGUUCUACAAGUCUUCCGUUAAAUCCACCUGCUUAACAGAUGGGCUGCGGAAGAUACUAUAGAGCUAGGAGGCGGGAGAGGCAAGCGGUACUCGAUGGGUAGGGGUAAAAUCCGUUGAUCCAUUGAAGACCACCAGUGGCGAAGGCGGCUUGCCAGAACGCGCUCGACGGUGAGGGAUGAAAGCUGGGGGAGCAAACCGGAUUAGAUACCCGGGUAGUCCCAG